AGAGCGAACGCUGGCGGCAGGCCUAACACAUGCAAGUCGAACGCCCAGCAAUGGGAGUGGCAGACGGGAUAGUAACACGUGGGAACGCGCCCUUCGGUUCGGAAUAACUCAGGGAAACUUGAGCUAAUACCGGAUACGCCCUUACGGGGAAAGAUUUAUUGCCGAAGGAACGGCCCGCGUCGGAUUAGCUAGUUGGUGAGGUAAUGGCUCACCAAGGCGACGAUCCGUAGCUGGUCUGAGAGGAUGACCAGCAUCACUGGGACUGAGACACGGCCCAGACUCCUACGGGAGGCAGCAGUGGGGAAUAUUGGACAAUGGGCGCAAGCCUGAUCCAGCCAUGCCGCGUGGAUGAUGAAGGCCCUAGGGUUGUAAAGUCCUUUUAACGGGGAAGAUAAUGACGGUACCGUAGAAUAAGCCCGGCUAACUUCGCGCCAGCAGCCGC
This 442-nucleotide ribosomal RNA is filed under the name uncultured bacterium. Its description in RNAcentral is "SSU rRNA". It matches the Rfam family "Bacterial small subunit ribosomal RNA", at positions 26 to 518 of the family's 1533-position model. The record is from RNAcentral.